Gallus gallus (chicken) is the source of this 1778-nucleotide long non-coding RNA. Lineage: Eukaryota; Metazoa; Chordata; Aves; Galliformes; Phasianidae. The record is from Ensembl.
CUUCGGCCGCAGCAGCACGCAGUGCAGAAGUGCCCUCUGGCUGCUGUGCCCUGCCUUACAGGAGGUGCUGCUAUUUGGCCCUCGUGAGCGCCGCAUCUCUAAUUGCUGCUCUCCGAGGUGCCGUUGUCUGUGCGGGCUCUGGGCACACAACCAGCGCAGGCCGGGCAGCUGUGUGCACACCCGGAGACCCGGCUGCUGCGUGAGAAACCUCUCCACAGCUGGAGAGUUUCUGAAGCAGACCAAAGGACAGUGAUGGCCCCGAGCAUACGGUGCUGAGCCCACCAUGGCAGCGUGGGGCAGCGCCUGCAGCACUGACAGCAGCUACACGCAGCCUUAUCUACCCCAGCAACUCUCAGGUUCAAGGGCAAAGAGAGAAAAGAAUGCAAGAAAAUAGCAAGAAAUAGAUCAACAUGAAAAAGAAAGCACCAAUUUGGAAAGUGCUGUUGGAAUUUGACAGGAAUAACAGCCCACGGCCGCCCUCCCAGCAGCAGCUCAUUCACCUCUGGCAGCCACAUGUGGCCUUUCCACAGACGAAAAAAUACAGCGAAAACGUUCCUACCUUCCAUGAGGCCAAACCAGGGUUCCAUGGCUCUUCUCCAGGCUCUGAUAACAUCACCACUGCAAACACCGGAGAGAUCAUUCCAGACCUCAGGGACUACAGAUGCCACGUGGGAAGCGCCUGGGCAGCCGGCCGCACGCGAAACCUGGAUGUCUUCCUGCAAGCCCCUGGGAUAGCUGAAACCAGAGGGACAUUAAGCAGAAACCAUAAAGUCACAUUUCUGGAAUGCUUUAGUCAUCAAAGCUCUGUGCAAGUAAAUCUGCUGCACCUGGAGAAGAUGCACGGAGAUCUGACAGAGUGGGUAGCGGAGGAAUGCACUGUGGAGAGCCUGCAGGUCAUCCCCAGCACAGCCGGGACACCCAACCACACCUGUGUCUUACGCACGUCCACGAGAAGGCACUUCCAUAGAAGAUUUAUUUUCAGAAGCAAAGUGUUCCUGGCAGUGAUUUCAAAUCACACCGUAACAGCAACACCACCCAAGCAGAAAGCUUUUUCCAAUGGCUCAUCUACCCCACAUGUGCGCUCAGAGCAGCAGACUUCCCAAGAGAAAAUUCCAUCUGCAAAUGGCAAAGAUUCGCUGGUCAGACAAAAUAUAAGUAUCUUCAUGAAAGCGUUCAUCGUCUGCAUCCUGUUAGCGCCCAUGAUAUGCUAUACCAUAUUUUUCAUACAUGAAAUAAGCCACUUGUGUUCGUGCCCUGACUGGAUCGGCAGCAGAUGGAGCAGAAGCAAAUGCAUAUCUGCAGCCCCCACCCCAGUGGAUCACCAGUCAGGAACACUCUCAGCCCAGCUACCUGAGGACAGAAAGAAGUCAGUGCUAUGUUUUGCCUGACUCUCAGAAUCCCUUCCACAGAUCCUUACAUGAGAAGAUCCCAAAUUAUUGUCAUCCACAAAACCUACUUAAGAAAUGCUGCAGGCCUUAGAGAAACACUGUUUUUACAAACAAAAAAAAAAGCAUCAUCUUCCUCCUCACCACUUACUGGGAACAGCAGAUUGAACAUCAGCAGCUUAAAUAACCACAGCUUCAACCGCUGCAGACUGAAACCAGACCUAAUAUCAGAAGCAACAUUUACCUGGUUAGGAGCAAUCACAUCAAUUCACUGCGAAGCGAGGUGCUGUGAAGACACCCACAUGCUGAUUCCUUCCAUUAACUACCUGGAUUCAUGUUUUAAUUCCCAGAUACUAGAAAAACCUGUUGGCAUAAACAAUAAAUACUUCAUUG